This 256-nucleotide ribosomal RNA is filed under the name uncultured bacterium. RNAcentral's name for it is "partial 16S ribosomal RNA". It matches the Rfam family "Bacterial small subunit ribosomal RNA", at positions 15 to 263 of the family's 1533-position model. The record is from RNAcentral.
GAUCAUGGCUCAGGAUGAACGCUAGCUACAGGCUUAACACAUGCAAGUCGAGGGGCAGCAUUUUAGUUUGCUUGCAAACUAAAGAUGGCGACCGGCGCACGGGUGAGUAACACGUAUCCAACCUGCCGAUAACUCGGGGAUAGCCUUUCGAAAGAAAGAUUAAUAUCCGAUGGUAUAUUAAAACCGCAUGGUUUUACUAUUAAAGAAUUUCGGUUAUCGAUGGGGAUGCGUUCCAUUAGUUUGUUGGCGGGUACGG